GUUGUGGCUUAGUGGUAGAGCACUUGCCUAGCAUGUGUGAGGCACUGGGUUCAAUUCUCAGCACUACA
This 68-nucleotide transfer RNA is filed under the name Marmota monax (woodchuck). RNAcentral's name for it is "tRNA.Ala". The stretch from base 3 to 63 matches the Rfam family "tRNA", at positions 6 to 65 of the family's 71-position model. From Rfam's summary of the family: Transfer RNA (tRNA) molecules are approximately 80 nucleotides in length. Their secondary structure includes four short double-helical elements and three loops (D, anti-codon, and T loops). Further hydrogen bonds mediate the characteristic L-shaped molecular structure. tRNAs have two regions of fundamental functional importance: the anti-codon, which is responsible for specific mRNA codon recognition, and the 3' end, to which the tRNAs corresponding amino acid is attached (by aminoacyl-tRNA synthetases). tRNAs cope with the degeneracy of the genetic code in two manners: having more than one tRNA (with a specific anti-codon) for a particular amino acid; and 'wobble' base-pairing, i.e. permitting non-standard base-pairing at the 3rd anti-codon position. The record is from RNAcentral. Lineage: Eukaryota; Metazoa; Chordata; Mammalia; Rodentia; Sciuridae.